GACGAACGCUGGCGGCGUGCUUAACACAUGCAAGUCGAACGGUAAGGCUCCAGCUUGCUGGGGUACACGAGUGGCGAACGGGUGAGUAACACGUGGGUGACCUGCCCUGCACUUCGGGAUAAGCCUGGGAAACUGGGUCUAAUACCGGAUAGGACCGCACCGUGAGGGUGUGGUGGAAAGUUUUUUCGGUGUGGGGUGGGCCCGCGGCCUAUCAGCUUGUUGGUGGGGUAAUGGCCUACCAAGGCGGCGACGGGUAGCCGGCCUGAGAGGGUGGACGGCCACAUUGGGACUGAGACACGGCCCAGACUCCUACGGGAGGCAGCAGUGGGGAAUAUUGCACAAUGGGCGGAAGCCUGAUGCAGCGACGCCGCGUGGGGGAUGACGGCCUUCGGGUUGUAAACUCCUUUCACCAUCGACGAAGGGUUUCUGACGGUAGAUGGAGAAGAAGCACCGGCUAACUACGUGCCAGCAGCCGCGGUAAUACGUAGGGUGCGAGCGUUGUCCGGAAUUACUGGGCGUAAAGAGCUCGUAGGUGGUUUGUCGCGUCGUCUGUGAAAUUCCGGGGCUUAACUCCGGGCGUGCAGGCGAUACGGGCAUAACUUGAGUACUGUAGGGGAGACUGGAAUUCCUGGUGUAGCGGUGAAAUGCGCAGAUAUCAGGAGGAACACCGGUGGCGAAGGCGGGUCUCUGGGCAGUAACUGACGCUGAGGAGCGAAAGCAUGGGGAGCGAACAGGAUUAGAUACCCUGGUAGUCCAUGCCGUAAACGGUGGGCGCUAGGUGUGGGUUUCCUUCCACGGGAUCCGUGCCGUAGCUAACGCAUUAAGCGCCCCGCCUGGGGAGUACGGCCGCAAGGCUAAAACUCAAAGGAAUUGACGGGGGCCCGCACAAGCGGCGGAGCAUGUGGAUUAAUUCGAUGCAACGCGAAGAACCUUACCUGGGCUUGACAUAUACAGGAUCGCGCCAGAGAUGGUGUUUCCCUUGUGGCUUGUAUACAGGUGGUGCAUGGUUGUCGUCAGCUCGUGUCGUGAGAUGUUGGGUUAAGUCCCGCAACGAGCGCAACCCUUGUCUUAUGUUGCCAGCACGUUGUGGUGGGGACUCGUAAGAAACUGCCGGGGUUAACUCGGAGGAAGGUGGGGAUGACGUCAAAUCAUCAUGCCCCUUAUGUCCAGGGCUUCACACAUGCUACAAUGGUCGGUACAGUGGGUUGCCAGUCCGUGAGGGCGAGCUAAUCCCGCAAAGCCGGUCUCAGUUCGGAUCGGGGUCUGCAACUCGACCCCGUGAAGUCGGAGUCGCUAGUAAUCGCAGAUCAGCAACGCUGCGGUGAAUACGUUCCCGGGCCU
This 1341-nucleotide ribosomal RNA is filed under the name uncultured bacterium. RNAcentral's name for it is "partial 16S ribosomal RNA". It matches the Rfam family "Bacterial small subunit ribosomal RNA", at positions 28 to 1381 of the family's 1533-position model. The record is from RNAcentral.